Molecule: ribosomal RNA, 530 nt
Filed under: Klebsiella pneumoniae
Lineage: Bacteria; Pseudomonadati; Pseudomonadota; Gammaproteobacteria; Enterobacterales; Enterobacteriaceae
Also listed under: 1 other name
Description: bacterial SSU rRNA
Rfam family: Bacterial small subunit ribosomal RNA
Source: RNAcentral
GGUGCCUUCGGGAACUGUGAGACAGGUGCUGCAUGGCUGUCGUCAGCUCGUGUUGUGAAAUGUUGGGUUAAGUCCCGCAACGAGCGCAACCCUUAUCCUUUGUUGCCAGCGGUCCGGCCGGGAACUCAAAGGAGACUGCCAGUGAUAAACUGGAGGAAGGUGGGGAUGACGUCAAGUCAUCAUGGCCCUUACGACCAGGGCUACACACGUGCUACAAUGGCAUAUACAAAGAGAAGCGACCUCGCGAGAGCAAGCGGACCUCAUAAAGUAUGUCGUAGUCCGGAUUGGAGUCUGCAACUCGACUCCAUGAAGUCGGAAUCGCUAGUAAUCGUAGAUCAGAAUGCUACGGUGAAUACGUUCCCGGGCCUUGUACACACCGCCCGUCACACCAUGGGAGUGGGUUGCAAAAGAAGUAGGUAGCUUAACCUUCGGGAGGGCGCUUACCACUUUGUGAUUCAUGACUGGGGUGAAGUCGUAACAAGGUAACCGUAGGGGAACCUGCGGUUGGAUCACCUCCUUACCUUAAAGAA